This 670-nucleotide ribosomal RNA is filed under the name uncultured bacterium. RNAcentral's name for it is "bacterial SSU rRNA". It matches the Rfam family "Bacterial small subunit ribosomal RNA", at positions 830 to 1502 of the family's 1533-position model. The record is from RNAcentral.
GCUAGACAUAGCAGUAAUGCAGUUAACACAUUAAGUGUGCCGCCUGGGGAGUACGGUCGCAAGAUUAAAACUCAAAGGAAUAGACGGGGACCCGCACAAGCGGUGGAGCAUGUGGUUUAAUUCGACGAUACGCGAAGAACCUUACCUGGCCUUGACAUACCAAAAAGAUUUCAGAGAUGAGAUUGUGCUAGUUUACUAGAAUUUGGAUACAGGUGCUGCACGGCUGUCGUCAGCUCGUGUCGUGAGAUGUUGGGUUAAGUCCCGCAACGAGCGCAACCCACGUCCUUAGUUGCUAACAGUUCGGCUGAGAACUCUAAGGAGACUGCCUGGGUAACCAGGAGGAAGGUGUGGACGACGUCAAGUCAUCAUGGCCCUUACGGCCAGGGCUACACACGUGCUACAAUGGGGUAUACAAAGAGCCGCAAUACCGCGAGGUGGAGCAAAUCUCUUAAAAUAUCUCCCAGUUCGGAUAGCACUCUGCAACUCGAGUGCUUGAAGUUGGAAUCGCUAGUAAUCGUAGAUCAGCAAUGCUACGGUGAAUACGUUCCCGGGUCUUGUACUCACCGCCCGUCACACCAUGGGAGUUGAAUUCAUUCGAAGCGGGGAUGCUAAAAUAGCUACCUUCCACAGUGGAUUUAGCGACUGGGGUGAAGUCGUAACAAGGUAGCCG